RNAcentral lists this long non-coding RNA (309 nucleotides) under Phoenix dactylifera (date palm). Its description in RNAcentral is "long non-coding RNA (PDAC_LNC006749)". Lineage: Eukaryota; Viridiplantae; Streptophyta; Magnoliopsida; Arecales; Arecaceae. The record is from RNAcentral.
AGCUGCCUUUUGGCUCGGACGAAGGAAGUAGUCCAGUCGUCGAUCAUCCUGCAAUAUAGCCAAAUAUAUAUGGAGAUGUGCGUGCCAAGCAGGAUGUACCUUUCAUGCAGUUAGAGUUAUAGUGCUUUAGGUCGACUCAGCGGCCUUCUUUGGCUUGUGGUCAACUCAGCAGGGUGCCCCCACUCAGAUCGGGGCGUGUUGUCGUAGGAGGCGUCGAAUGGCGUUGAAAGGCGUCGAAUGGCGUUGAAUGGCGUCGAAUGGCGUCGAAGUGUCGUCGAAUGGCGUCGAAUGUCGUCGAAUGGCGUCGAA